Molecule: long non-coding RNA, 422 nt
Filed under: Homo sapiens (human)
Lineage: Eukaryota; Metazoa; Chordata; Mammalia; Primates; Hominidae
Description: novel transcript
Source: RNAcentral
AUUGGAGAGAACCAAAUGGAGUUAACAAGUUUGGAAGAUACAGGUGUAUUUCCCAUAGAACAUGAGAAUGAACACUAAAUGAGAAAUUCUUGGAAACAAAGACUGAUGCAAGAAGAAUGCCUGGUUGGAAGUGAAAAAAGCAAGAGCAAAGAUGCUGGUUCUGAGGCCAGAGGCAAUGUUGGGGAAGGAUCUUGGGACUGAGUCAGCUGGGACCAAGGAAGAGCCAACCAUACCUGGAUGGAUUUAAGGAAUGCUAAGACAGGUCCAAAGUUGGAGAGAAGAGUGAAAGGACCUGCUUACUUAUUAUCUCCCCAGCUACACUGGAAUUCUUCCACAGCUUACAUGAGGUCAUCAGCCUCUGGCCAUGUCUGGAAAACAGCAGGAGCUCAACUAAUGUUUAUUAAACUAAACUAGAUCUAAAA